UUUUGACAAAUUUAUUUAUUUUUAUUGUUAAAAAUUGGUGUAGUUGAAAGAAUAAUCAGACAAUUAUACUUGCCACACCACGUGUGCCUCGUGCUGAUGUACAAUGACUAAUUUUUAAUAGUAAUAAUGAAUGAAAAUUUAACAA
This 145-nucleotide microRNA precursor is filed under the name Gossypium hirsutum (cotton). RNAcentral's name for it is "MIR7502 microRNA precursor family". It matches the Rfam family "MIR7502 microRNA precursor family". The record is from Rfam by way of RNAcentral. Lineage: Eukaryota; Viridiplantae; Streptophyta; Magnoliopsida; Malvales; Malvaceae.